Molecule: unclassified non-coding RNA, 402 nt
Filed under: soil metagenome
Description: partial contains 5.8S ribosomal RNA, internal transcribed spacer 2, and large subunit ribosomal RNA
Rfam family: 5.8S ribosomal RNA (bases 1-121)
Source: RNAcentral
GAUGAAGAACGCAGCGAAAUGCGAUAAGUAAUGUGAAUUGCAGAAUUCAGUGAAUCAUCGAAUCUUUGAACGCACCUUGCGCCCUUUGGCUAUUCCGAAGGGCAUGCCUGUUUGAGUAUCGUGAACACCUCAACUCUCAUGGUUCGCCAUGAUGAGCUUGGACUUUGGGGGUUUUGCUGGCCUUUGGUCGGCUCCUCUCAAACGGAUCAGCUUUCCAGUGUUUGGUGGCGUCACGGGUGUGAUAACUAUCUACGCCUGUGGUUUUCUGCCAGAUAACCUUCAGCGAUGGAGGUUCGCUGGGGCUCAUAAAUGUCUCUCUUCAGUGGAGACAGCUUUUUGGACGUUUGAUCUCAAAUCAGGUAGGACUACCCGCUGAACUUAAGCAUAUCAAUAAGCGGAGGA